GGGUCAGUAGGUUGGUCGUGCCACCGGUACGUACUGGUCUCACUGAUUCCUCCUUCCUGAAGAACCGUAAUGCCAUUAAUUUGGUGUUGCGGGGAAACAGGACUGUUACUUUGAAAAAAUUAGAGUGCUUAAAGCAAGCUAACGCUUGAAUACAUUAGCAUGGAAUAAUGAAAUAGGACGAUCGAUCCUAUUUUGUUGGCUUCUAGGAUUGACGUA
Molecule: ribosomal RNA, 216 nt
Filed under: Glomeromycotina sp.
Lineage: Eukaryota; Fungi; Glomeromycota
Description: partial small subunit ribosomal RNA
Rfam family: Eukaryotic small subunit ribosomal RNA (bases 44-216)
Source: RNAcentral